Molecule: unclassified non-coding RNA, 4150 nt
Filed under: Polistes dominula (European paper wasp)
Lineage: Eukaryota; Metazoa; Arthropoda; Insecta; Hymenoptera; Vespidae
Description: protogenin, transcript variant X4
Source: RNAcentral
GAAUCAUUUUCUUCGGAGCUUGGAUUCUGGGUGGGAGGGAGGCAAGGAAGAUGAUGGCAAGGGAAGAACGAAUCGCGUGCUAACGCAAAACUAAAGCAGGCGUUACUGGUGUGGUGGUUGUUGCAUUUACGACGGCAAACGUGCGGUCAGAGUAAUCGACUAUUGCCGGUUGAAUAUUUUAAACAACGACGCGAUGAAUAACAUAUUUUUGUUGAUCAUGUGAAAAGACAAGGAUUUAUGAGGUCAACAGAAUUUUUUAAUUAACUGCGAAAGAAACCAGGGCCCGGCCAAAAACACUCCUACGAGACGAUGUCAAACAUGCGGCGAAGAUUUUUUCUCAUGAGUCUCGUUAUACGACGGCGUGUUUCGGCUAAGAUUUGUCAGUGAAACCGGUGCCAAUGAGCGUUAAUAUAUGGCGGCGCGAGUAUUUUUGCUUAGUAUCUUGUUUACAGAAGUACUAAAGCCCGCUUGUGCUGCAGGUGUCAAAGGUAUUGGAACAAAUAUAAAUAAUAGAAAUGUAUCUAAAUCGGAUGGUUCUGAUGCAGAUUCGACAAAAGGUUUUACUGCGACAACAGAAAUAGAACCUAGUGGUCAUGUAAUAUUGGGAAAGAAAUCGAUAAUACUUAAUUGUUUAGCUGAUACUAAUCAAACUAUUUCUUGGUUACGUAAUGGAAAACCAAUACCACCAUGUGGUUCUACCCGAUGCUCUGUACAACGUAAUGGAUCUCUUCUUUACAUUAAGAAACAAAAUUUUCAAAAGUCACAAAAGUUCAAAGAAAAAGAAAAUACCAGCCUUACUAAUAUUAAGAGUCAUAUUAAAGAUGAAUAUCGUUGUAUAACACAAACUGAUUCUGGACUAUUGAGAUCUUCGCCAACAUUCAUUGAAAUAGCAGAACUUGGCCAUGUAUUUAAAGAAUCACCAGAGAAUGUAACCGUUCAAGAAGGCGAAGUAGUAAGAUUGUCUUGUAUCAUAGAUAGUGUUCCCUUUCCAUCUAACGUUACAUGGGAACAUAAUGGAAAAUCAGUUCUGCUUAAUCUUAAUAAUUCAAAAUAUUCAAUGGUAUCACCAGGUGUUCUGUAUAUAAGUACAACACAAUUAUCAGAUGCUGGUUCUUAUAGAUGUGUAGUGACUAAUGAAUUCCUAAAAAAAACCAAAAAAAGUAAAGAGGCACAACUGACUGUUAUUGCUAGAUCGGAGGAUGAAAAAUCACAUAAAUCAUCAUCAUUAUUUCCACAAACGUCAUAUAACCAUUCGCUACUUAAUGGAUCAAGCCUUAAUCUAGCAUGUGCUGCAUCUGGUUAUCCACUGCCUCUUAUAACAUGGACUUUCAUACCUCGAUAUACAGGUAACAGCAAUGUUCCACAACCUCGCAUUCUUGUUAAUUCUACUACUGGCAUUGCUAUAUUAGAAUUAAGAAAUGUAAGCAUUUUUGAUGCUGGCAUCUAUACUUGUUCUUCAAAAAAUUCGAUAACAAAUGAUUUGGAAAUUCAGAAUAUAACUGUAGAUAUAUCGGUACCUCCAUCAUUCUUGAAAACUCCUGUAAAUCGAGUUUGUCCAAAUGGAAAAACUGCAAGAUUUGAGUGUCAGGCACAGGGUUUACCUGAACCACAAAUUUAUUGGCUAAAGGAUUCUCUAAAUGUUACAGUCAAUGGACGUAGAACAAUUUACGUAAAAGAUAACAACAAAAGGGAAUUGGCAAUUUCGGCAACAGUUCCAUCAGAUUCUGGUCUGUAUCAAUGUGUAGCUGUAAAUUCAGCAGGAGAAAUAUGGGCUGCUGGUCGGCUUCGAGUAAAUUCAUCUCGCAAUAGUCCUGCUGCACCUACCUCUUUAAAAUGUCACGCUGUGUCCCCAGUUAGAAUUUUGAUUUCAUGGGAACCACCAAAGUCUCUACCGUAUACCAGUAUUACAGCUUAUACCGUCCAUUAUAGCCCUGCUGAAGGUGGUAAAGAAGAAAUUUCUCCUCCUGAGCCAGGAAAUUCCACAUCUGUAGAAGUAACAAAACUUUUAGAACCAUUUACAAAUUAUUCCUUUUACGUACGAGUAUGGAACAUAUAUGGCGCUAGCGAUCAAUCUGCCACCAUCUUGUGUACUACAGCUCCAAGUGUUCCUAAAAGCACACCGAAAAUAAAUCUAAAUAUUAUUAGUAAUACAAAAUUAAACGUAUCAUGGGAGCCUUUAACAGAAAAGGAAUCACGUGGCACCGUGGUAGAAUAUAAAUUACAAUGGAGAUUACAUCAGCAUCCAUCAUCCAGAGUAGUUUUUCUACCUGCUAAUUUUGAAUAUUAUAUUCUUUCUGAUUUAAUAAGAGGAGCUAAAUAUGAUGUACGAAUAAUAGCAAGAACAAAACAGGGAUGGCCUAAUUUGAGUGAAAUGCAAUUAAAUUGGAGCACUGUAACAAUGCCUUCUAUAGAUUCUAAUGAAUUUAACAUUAGAAAUUUUGUAGACAUGCAAUUAUUAAGUACCAAGAUUUCAUCAGUUAAAGUCAUCUGGAAAAUAGAUUCGAAAGAAAACAGUAAAGUUGAGCCAGAAUUCGAUUCUUGGCAAAUUUACUGCGAAGAUUCAGAUGGAUACAAAUUAUUAACAGUUUCUCUUCCACGAAAUGCUACAGAAUAUACAUUAGCCAAUAAUCUUGAAAGGAAUUGUUCUUACACUGUGGGUCUUUGUAUGGUAAAUUCUGGCGAAGUAAAAUAUUGUUUAACCAAAAUCAUUGAUGUUACUCAUUCUGGUUCCAGUAAUGUAUUCAUGGCUUUGGAGGCUAUUCCUGUUUCAUCUACCUCUAUAAAUGUUACGUGGACAGUAACUGAAAUGCAUAGUGCACAUUCCUUUGAACUUUGCUAUCAUGCGGUUCAUAUUGAAAAUUCUGAGGAAUCCAAAUGCAUUACAUUAGAUGAUACUAAGAUGACUGUUGAUAAGUUGAAACCAUUUACAUUGUAUCAAUUUAAAGUAAGAAUGAUAAGACACGAAAAUAAUCAAAGUUACAUUUACAGUGAAUCUGUUGAAUGUUAUACUUAUGAAGAUGUUCCUGGAAAAGUUGAAGAUAUUCAGUGGUUUUUGGGUAACAAUACUAAAGUUCGUAUUGCAUGGAAAGAACCGAGUAGUAUAAAUGGAGUGAUACAAAAUUAUUUUGUUGCGUAUACCAUGGAUUUAAUGGACCCUAUUGAAAGUUGGGGAAAUGUAACAGUUCCUGGAAAUAAAACAUCAACUACUCUUCCAGGUUUAGUUCCAGGAAAACGAUAUUUUGUAAUUGUACAAGCAGCUACAAAAGCGGGUUAUGGUAAAUCAUCAGAUCCUAUAAUAAUUAUUACUGGUGGUACAGCAAUCAAAAUUCCUACAUCAUCGAACGAACAAAAGCCACCGCAAAAUAUUAAACCUGAUCAAAGCUUAGGUAUUAUCCUGGGUGUAAGCAUAAGCAUAGUAUUAAUAACAAUUUGCUUAUGUAGCAUUUAUUGUCGAAAUAAAUGCGAGAGUUCUCGAUCUUUAAGAGAUGGUGCUCAACCUCUAAAAGGACGUAUUUUAGUGCGAAACGGAAAUGGAUGUUGUAUCGAAUCUACUGCUCCUGUAAAUCAACAAAUGAAUGUUACAGUUUCUUCUAAUGAUGUUGAACUUGCUGGUCUUUGUCCAUCUUCGCCAGUUUCAAAUCCACAUUCAGAUACCAAAGGAGGACAUACCAAUGGUGUUGUGGAACCUUGCGUAAAGGAACCAUUAUUAUCACCUUGGGAUGUAAAUGGAGAAUCAAAGAAUAUUUGUCUUACGGAAAACCCUCAGUACAAAAGGCGUGAUAGUACCGUUUUAAGAAAAAAUGAUGAAGAAAGCCAAGAUUUGGAUGACACACAGUUUACUAUGGUCAAUUGUACUUUAGACAGUAACAGUGGCAGCCUAAAUAAUAAUUCAGGAUGUCAAGAUAAUGAUAUAUCAUCAGAAAACGUUACCUGCACAUCUGUUCCAGUACUUGGACCAAAUGGAUGAAUACGCUCUAACGAUCUUGGCUGUUUUGCAUUUGCGUGAAUUGGAAUACAGCAGAAAUCCUCUGAAUGUAAAAAGGCAAGUUUAAUAUUGUAAAAUAAGAUGAGUAUUACAAAUGAACUUACUUAUACAUUAAUUUAGAUACACAGAACGAUUAUAUACAUAUAUAUAUAAUAGAUCCUCAUG